RNAcentral lists this ribosomal RNA (331 nucleotides) under uncultured eukaryote. RNAcentral's name for it is "partial 18S ribosomal RNA". It matches the Rfam family "Eukaryotic small subunit ribosomal RNA", at positions 1470 to 1796 of the family's 1831-position model. The record is from RNAcentral.
CCCUUAGAUGUUCGGGGCCGCACGCGCGCUACACUGAAGGGAUCAGCGUGUCUCACCUCGCCUGAGAAGGCCGGGUAACCCGUUGAAUCUCCUUCGUGAUAGGGAUUGGGGCUUGAAAUUGUUCCCCAUGAACGAGGAAUUCCCAGUAAGCGCGAGUCAUAAGCUCGCGUUGAUUACGUCCCUGCCCUUUGUACACACCGCCCGUCGCUACUACCGAUUGAACGGUUUAGUGAGGGCCUCGGAUUGGUCUCGGCCCGCUCUUUACCGGGCGGCGCCGUUGGUCGAGAAGACGCUCGAACUUGAUCGUUUAGAGGAAGUAAAAGUCGUAACA